UACGGAGGGGGCCAGCGUUGUUCGGAAUCAUUGGGCGUAAAGGGCGCGUAGGCGGCUUUGUAAGUCCGUUGUGAAAUCCCUCGGCUCAACCGAGGAACUGCGACGGAUACUGCUUGGCUUGAGUCCCGGAGAGGGUAGCGGAAUUCCCAGUGUAGCGGUGAAAUGCGUAGAUAUUGGGAGGAACAUCGGUGGCGAAGGCGACCAACUGGUUGGUGAUUGACGCUGAGGCGCGAAAGCGUGGGGAGCAAACAGG
RNAcentral lists this ribosomal RNA (253 nucleotides) under uncultured bacterium. RNAcentral describes it as "partial 16S ribosomal RNA". It matches the Rfam family "Bacterial small subunit ribosomal RNA", at positions 524 to 776 of the family's 1533-position model. The record is from RNAcentral.